AGCCAAGCUACUAAGGGUCUACGGUGGAUGCCUUGGCGCUAGGAGGCGAUGAAGGACGCGACAAACGGCGAUACGCUUCGGGGAGGUGUUAAUGACUUAGGAUCCGGAGAUUUCCGAAUGGGGCAACCUGGCCAGAUAGGCCGUUGACACGCCAACCGGGGGAAGUGAAACAUCUCAGUACCCCGAGGAAAAGAAAGAGAAUUCGAUUCCCGUAGUAGUGGCGAGCGAACUGGGAGGAGCCUAAACCGGGCGGUAUAUCCGCGCGGGGUUGUGGGGCUCUGCUGGGCAUAUGCCGAGAAGUUAUCAAUCAACUGUUUAGCGGAACGUUUCAGGAAUGGGCGGCCAUAGAGGGUGACAGCCCCGUAUGCGAAAAGCGGUUGACUUCUUGAGCGGAGAACCCGAGUACGGUGGGAUAAGCAUGACUGCCGGAAUCUAGGCACACCACUGCCUAAGGCUAAAUACUCCCUAGCGACCGAUAGUGAACCAGUACCGUGAGGGAAAGGUGAAAAGUCCCCCUGAAGGGGAGUGAAAUAGUACCUGAAACCGUAGACUUACAAUCUGUGGGAGCCCUACGCUUCUUUGAAGCACGGGUGACCGCGUGCCUUUUGCAUAAUGAGCCGGUGACUUAUGUUGUGUGGCAGGUUAAGCGUCUCUGACGCGGAGCCUCAGCGAAAGCGAGUCUGAAUAGGGCGUAGGUCGCAUGACAUAGACCCGAAACCAAGUGAUCUAUCCAUGGCCAGGAUGAAGCGCAUGUAACAGUGAGUGGAGGUCCGAACCCACCAAGGCUGAAAACUUGGGGGAUGAGCUGUGGAUCGGAGUGAAAGGCUAAUCAAACUUGGUGAUAGCUGGUUCUCCCCGAAAUAGCUUUAGGGCUAGCCUU
RNAcentral lists this ribosomal RNA (880 nucleotides) under Candidatus Poribacteria bacterium. RNAcentral describes it as "partial 23S ribosomal RNA". It matches the Rfam family "Bacterial large subunit ribosomal RNA", at positions 1 to 883 of the family's 2925-position model. Lineage: Bacteria; Candidatus Poribacteria. The record is from RNAcentral.